Molecule: long non-coding RNA, 720 nt
Organism: Pipra filicauda (Wire-tailed manakin)
Lineage: Eukaryota; Metazoa; Chordata; Aves; Passeriformes; Pipridae
Exons: 4
Source: RefSeq, a predicted model, not a curated record
CAUCUUUCUGCUGAGUUCCUCAUAUGUGAGCUGCUGAAGUAUGAAUAGAAACAGCACUGGUCCACUGACUCUUGAUGAUCUCCUUGCACUAGAAACUCCUACAACAAGCUUCAUAAAUGUUAUGUCUCCAGUGAACCAAACAUGUUAUAGCUCUGGGCAACUCUCUGGGCUGCUGGUUUGGCCCUUAAGCUUAUACUGGACAGGAUAUGGAGGACCACUGGACAGGAGAUGGGAAUGGCUGUACCUGAGAGUGUGGAUGUGCUCUAUUAACCACUGCAGAAUAAUACACCACAAAUGUACUGCAGAGCUGGCUGAAGCAAUUUCUUCCUAUAUAGCUUGUGAUGUAAAAUAGUUUUGAGACAUUCCACGAAGAAUAGUUCUCUACAAACAUAUGGACACUCAGCAUGAAAUCAAUGCAGCAAGAAAAGGUUGGCCAGCCCCUCUGGUCCUGAUCCAGCUGAGCACUUCAACACACAGAGGCUUCUUUUGGCUUCAUCUCCCAUGUUCGAGGACGAGAUCCUGGGAGGGGACACGAGUAACCAGCUGACCCACACUGACCAAGGGGAUAUUCCAUAGUCAACCCAGAUAUAAAAGCUGAGGCGAGGAGCUGGACAGGAGGAUUUGUUGUCUCUGAUGGCUGCCUGCUGACAACCCUUACGCGUGCUGGAGCCCUGCUGCUCAGAGAAGUGGCUGACCAUCGCUGCUUAUGGGAAGUAGAGA